UGGGGAAUAUUGCACAAUGGGCGCAAGCCUGAUGCAGCGACGCCGCGUGAAGGAUGAAGGUCUUCGGAUUGUAAACUUCUAUCAGCAGGGAAGAAAAAAAUGACGGUACCUGACUAAGAAGCUCCGGCUAACUACGUGCCAGCAGCCGCGGUAAUACGUAGGGAGAGAGCGUUAUCCGGAUUUACUGGGUGUAAAGGGUGCGUAGGCGGCCUGGUAAGUUAGAAGUGAAAUUUUGGGGCUCAACCCCAAAGCUGCUUCUAAAACUGCUGGGCUAGGGCGCAGGAGAGGAAAGCGGAACUCCACGUGUAGCGGUGAAAUGCGUAGAGAUGUGGAGGAACACCAGUAGCGAAGGCGGCUUUCUGGACUGUAACUGACGCUGAGGCACGAAAGCGUGGGGAGCAAACAGG
RNAcentral lists this ribosomal RNA (407 nucleotides) under uncultured prokaryote. RNAcentral's name for it is "bacterial SSU rRNA". It matches the Rfam family "Bacterial small subunit ribosomal RNA", at positions 355 to 776 of the family's 1533-position model. The record is from RNAcentral. RNAcentral also lists the same sequence under 1 other name.